GGGCCUGUAGCUCAGUUGGGAGAGCGUACGGUUCGCAUCCGUAAGGUCGUGGGUUCGAAUGCCUUCAGGUCCACCA
This 76-nucleotide transfer RNA is filed under the name Oscillospiraceae bacterium. RNAcentral's name for it is "tRNA-Ala". It matches the Rfam family "tRNA". Rfam says of the family: Transfer RNA (tRNA) molecules are approximately 80 nucleotides in length. Their secondary structure includes four short double-helical elements and three loops (D, anti-codon, and T loops). The record is from RNAcentral. Lineage: Bacteria; Bacillati; Bacillota; Clostridia; Eubacteriales; Oscillospiraceae.